CCUACGGGAGGCUGCAGUGGGGAAUGUUGGACAAUGGGCGCAAGCCUGAUCCAGCUAUUCCGCGUGUGGGAUGACGGCCUUCGGGUUGUAAACCACUUUUGAAGAGAACGAAAAGUCUGGUGAGAAUACCGAUAGAUGAUGACGGUACGAUAAGAAGAAGCACCGGCUAACUACGUGCCAGCAGCCGCGGUAAUACGUAGGGUGCGAGCGUUCAUCGGAAUUACUGGGCGUAAAGGUUGUGCAGGCGGUUUUGCAAGAUGGAUUUGAAAGCCCCGGGCUUAACCUGGGAAAGCCAUACAUGACUGCCAGCCUCGAGUGCGUCAGAGGGGGGUGGAAUUCCAAGUGUAGCAGU
This 352-nucleotide ribosomal RNA is filed under the name uncultured bacterium. RNAcentral describes it as "partial 16S ribosomal RNA". It matches the Rfam family "Bacterial small subunit ribosomal RNA", at positions 338 to 682 of the family's 1533-position model. The record is from RNAcentral.